Molecule: small nucleolar RNA, 93 nt
Organism: Rhododendron vialii
Lineage: Eukaryota; Viridiplantae; Streptophyta; Magnoliopsida; Ericales; Ericaceae
Product: small nucleolar RNA U54
Exons: 1
Source: RefSeq, a predicted model, not a curated record
GGCUCUGUGAUUUUGAUGCCUGAUUUUUGGGGCAAUAUACGCUAUUCUGAAUGCUAAUGUGAGCUGAUAAAUUUUCUGAUAACGAUGAGAGCU